RNAcentral lists this ribosomal RNA (254 nucleotides) under uncultured bacterium. RNAcentral describes it as "partial 16S ribosomal RNA". It matches the Rfam family "Bacterial small subunit ribosomal RNA", at positions 524 to 776 of the family's 1533-position model. The record is from RNAcentral.
UACGUAGGCAGCAAGCGUUGUUCGGAAUUACUGGGCGUAAAGAGCUCGUAGGCGGCUUGGUAAGUCGGAUGUGAAAUCUCCAUGCUUAACGUGGAGCGGCCAUCUGAUACUGCUAUGGCUUGAGUCCGGUAGGGGCCCACGGAAUUCCUGGUGUAGCGGUGAAAUGCGCAGAUAUCAGGAGGAACACCGGUGGCGAAGGCGGUGGGCUGGGCCGGUACUGACGCUGAGGAGCGAAAGCGUGGGGAGCGAACAGG